UGUGGAUGUGUAAAUAGCACAUGCUAAAUGUACUGUGGGCCUGGAGCCCCAAGAUUUUGAUGGUGGAGAUUUGGGAAAAUGCCCCUGGAGUGGGACCCUAUUAUUGUUUUCAAGAACCCUAUUUCAUCUAAUUUUCAUCAUUCUUGUGGAUCAUAAAUUGCAAUUUCUGCUUACAGUUUCUCUUAAUUUUUAAAAUUCCAGGAAUUCAAAAGUUUGGUGGUUGGAUUCUGUUUUUUGGGCAGCAAUGGCGAAAGCACGCAAGUCGCAAGAAGAAAUUGCGAGUGAAGCCAUCAAGCAUGCUUUGAAGGCUCUGCGGAAGCGCCAUUUGCUUGAGGAAGCUGCUCAUGCUCCCACUGUUCUAGCUCUUUCUAGACCCAUCGUUUCUCAGGGCUCUGAGUGGAAAGAGAAAGCAGAGAAUCUUCAAAUGGAACUUCAGCAAUGCUACAAAGCUCAAUCUCGCCUGUCUGAGCAACUUGUUGUGGAAGUAGCUGAGUCCAGAGCUUCGAAAACGUCUCUUCAAGAGAAAGAAAAUGCAUUGGCUGAUCUGCAGAAGGAGUUGACUGAAUUGAGGGAUGAGUGCUCUCAAUUGAAGGUGGACUUGGAAGAAAAAAUUAAAUCUCUGGAACUGGUUGUCAGUGAGAAUUCUGAACUUAAAGCACAACUGGAGCAGAUGACUACUAAAGCCAAUAAAGCUGAAGCUGAAAACAAGAUGUUGAUUGACCGCUGGAUGUUAGAAAAGAUGAAGGAUGCUGAACGCCUAAAUGAGGCCAACACACUGUAUGAAGAGAUGGUUGAGAAACUAAGGGCCAGUGGUUUAGAACAACUUGCAAGGCAGCAGGUGGAUGGUAUAGUUCGCCGAAGUGAAGAAGGUGCUGAAUUCUUUUUUGAUUCAAACAUCCCUUCCACAUGUAAAUACAGGCUUCGUGCACAUGAAGGUGGUUGUGCUUCCAUGUUGUUUGAGUACAAUUCCAGUAAAUUGAUUACUGGGGGACAGGAUCGGUUAGUUAAAAUGUGGGAUGCAAAUACAGGAUCCUUAAGUUCUACUCUUCAUGGCUGCCUUGGCUCAGUAUUGGAUCUCACAAUCACCCACGAUAAUCAAUCUGUCAUUGCUGCAAGCAGCUCAAACAACUUGUAUGUAUGGGAUGUCAACUCAGGUCGUGUCCGUCAUACCCUUACUGGCCACACUGAUAAAGUUUGUGCUGUUGAUGUCAGCAAGAUUUCAAGUCGUCAUGUUGUCAGUGCUGCCUAUGAUCGUACCAUAAAAGUUUGGGACUUAGUGAAAGGUUACUGCACAAACACAGUAAUUUUUCGCAGCAACUGCAAUUCUCUUUCCUUCAGCAUGGAUGGUCAAACCAUAUUUUCUGGGCAUGUUGAUGGUAACCUUCGGCUAUGGGACAUUCAAACUGGAAAGUUACUUAGUGAGGUUGCUGCCCAUUCACUUGCAGUCACGUCACUAUCCCUUUCCCGAAAUGGAAAUGUUGUACUGACCAGUGGAAGGGACAAUUUACACAAUUUGUUUGAUGUGCGAUCUCUGGAAGUUUGUGGCACAUUAAAAGCCAUGGGAAACAGAGUGGCUUCUAAUUGGAGUCGCUCCUGUAUCAGCCCAGAUGACAAUCAUGUUGCUGCUGGGUCUGCUGAUGGAUCUGUCUAUAUUUGGUCAAUAUCUAAAGGUGAUAUAGUCAGUACUCUGAAGGAACACACUUCCUCUGUUCUGUGUUGUAGGUGGAGCGGAAUUGCAAAACCCCUAGCUUCAGCUGAUAAGAAUGGGAUUGUUUGCGUCUGGACAUAACUGGCUUUCAUUUCUUUGGAUACGUGCAGAGGUUUGACCACACUAAAAUAGAUAAAGGUUUGCAUCUAUGCAAGCGGUGUGGUACUGCUCAAUUGUACAGUUUUCAGAUUGGGUGGCUGAAUUCUUUAUCACUGUUUUAUGUUCAUACAAGGAUACAAAGACCUCGCUGCAGUGGGGACAGACAGGAAUGAGGCUCCUGACUGAUUUACUGUUUUCAUAUCUCGCAGUGUGGACUUUGCAGGACUGCUGCAGUAAAGAACCUAUGCAGGAAUGUUGUAGCGAGGUAUUUGUAUCAUGUUCCAGCACUAAUUUUAUUCAUGAAAUAGUUAUUUGUGACUGAAUGGUAAUGGAAAUUGAUUUUAUAA
Molecule: RNA transcript, 2154 nt
Organism: Glycine soja
Lineage: Eukaryota; Viridiplantae; Streptophyta; Magnoliopsida; Fabales; Fabaceae
Gene name: autophagy-related protein 16-like
Exons: 5
Source: RefSeq, a predicted model, not a curated record